RNAcentral lists this ribosomal RNA (396 nucleotides) under uncultured bacterium. Its description in RNAcentral is "partial 16S ribosomal RNA". It matches the Rfam family "Bacterial small subunit ribosomal RNA", at positions 338 to 731 of the family's 1533-position model. The record is from RNAcentral.
CCUACGGGUGGCAGCAGUGAGGAAUAUUGGUCAAUGGGCGCGAGCCUGAACCAGCCAAGUAGCGUGAAGGAUGACUGCCCUACGAGUUGUAAACUUCUUUUAUAAAGGAAUAAGGUGAGUCUCGUGUUCCUUUUUGUAUGUACUUUAUGAAUAAGGAUCGGCUAACUCCGUGCCAGCAGCCGCGGUACUACGUUGGAUCCGAGCGUUAUCCGGAUUGAUUGUUUUUAAAGGGAGCGUAGAUGGGUUGUUAAGUCAGUUGUGAAAGUCUGGGGCUCAACCGUAAAAUUGCAAUUGAUACUGGCAGCCUUGAGUACGGUUGAGGAAGGCGGAAUUCGUGGUGUAGGGGUGAAAUGCUUAGAUAUCACGAAGAACUCCGAUUGCGAAGGCAGCCUACUA